AUCACCUGGGGAGCUUGUUAAAAUGCAGAUUCUGAUUCGGCGGGUCUGGGGCGGGGCCCGAGAGUCUGCAUUUCUAACGAGCGCUCAGGUGGUGAGGG
This 98-nucleotide microRNA precursor is filed under the name Canis lupus familiaris (dog). RNAcentral describes it as "mir-544 microRNA precursor family". It matches the Rfam family "mir-544 microRNA precursor family". Lineage: Eukaryota; Metazoa; Chordata; Mammalia; Carnivora; Canidae. RNAcentral also lists the same sequence under 1 other name. The record is from Rfam by way of RNAcentral.